RNAcentral lists this transfer RNA (69 nucleotides) under Marmota monax (woodchuck). RNAcentral's name for it is "tRNA.Val". The record is from RNAcentral. Lineage: Eukaryota; Metazoa; Chordata; Mammalia; Rodentia; Sciuridae.
GGAAUAUAGCUCAGUUGGUAGAGUGCUUGCCUCACAUGCACAAGUACCUGGGUUCAAUCCCAAGCACCA